UUCCAAGAAGUGAUGAACAGGUGUUCGAGUCGAUCAAAGGAAAGCUCAAGCGAGCUCAACUGU
This 63-nucleotide transfer RNA is filed under the name Thalassiosira minuscula. Lineage: Eukaryota; Bacillariophyta; Thalassiosirophyceae; Thalassiosirales; Thalassiosiraceae. The record is from RNAcentral.